GACUAGAGUUUGAUCCUGGCUCAGAACGAACGUUAGCGGCGCGCCUAACACAUGCAAGUCGCACGAGAAAGGGCUUCGGCCCCGGUAAAGUGGCGCACGGGUGAGUAACACGUAGGUAAUCUACCCUGAGUGGUGGAUAACCCUCCGAAAGGAGGCUAAUACAGCAUGAGACCACGGGUUCUUCGGAACCUGCGGCCAAAGUGGGCCUCUUCAUGAAAGCUCACGCUCUAGGAUGAGCCUGCGGCCCAUCAGCUAGUUGGCGGUGUAACGGACCACCAAGGCUAAGACGGGUAGCUGGUCUGAGAGGAUGAACAGCCACACUGGAACUGAGACACGGUCCAGACUCCUACGGGAGGCAGCAGUGGGGAAUCUUGCGCAAUGGCGAAAGCCUGACGCAGCGACGCCGCGUGAGUGAUGAAGGCCUUCGGGUUGUAAAGCUCUGUGGGGAGAGACGAAUAAGGGACGGCUAAUACCCGGCUCGAUGACGGUAUCUCCUUAGCAAGCACCGGCUAACUCUGUGCCAGCAGCCGCGGUAA
RNAcentral lists this ribosomal RNA (536 nucleotides) under uncultured delta proteobacterium. Its description in RNAcentral is "bacterial SSU rRNA". It matches the Rfam family "Bacterial small subunit ribosomal RNA", at positions 1 to 523 of the family's 1533-position model. Lineage: Bacteria; Deltaproteobacteria. The record is from RNAcentral.